RNAcentral lists this ribosomal RNA (394 nucleotides) under uncultured bacterium. RNAcentral describes it as "bacterial SSU rRNA". It matches the Rfam family "Bacterial small subunit ribosomal RNA", at positions 29 to 418 of the family's 1533-position model. The record is from RNAcentral.
AGUGAACGCUGGCGGCAGGCCUAAUACAUGCAAGUCGAACGGCAGCACAGUGGAGCUUGCUCCAUGGGUGGCGAGUGGCGGACGGGUGAGGAAUACAUGGGAAUCUGCCCAGUCGUGGGGAUAACGUAUGGAAACGUACGCUAAUACCGCAUGCGCCCUUCGGGGGAAAGUCGGGGACCGCAAGGCCUGACGCGAUUGGAUGAGCCCAUGUUCGAUUAGCUAGUUGGCGGGUAACGGCCCACCAAGGCGACGAUCGAUAGCUGGUCUGAGAGGAUGAUCAGCCACUCUGGAACUGAGACACGGUCCAGACUCCUACGGGAGGCAGGCAGUAGGGAAUAUUGGACAAUGGGCGCAAGCCUGAUCCAGCCAUGCCGCGUCGAGUGAAGAAGGCCCU